UACCUACGGGGGGCAGCAGUAGGGAAUAUUGCUCAAUGGGGGAAACCCUGAAGCAGCAACGCCGCGUGGAGGAGGAAGGUUUUCGGAUUGUAAACUCAUUUUGUUAGAGAAGAGAAUGACGGUAUCUAACGAAUAAGCACCGGCUAACUCCGUGCCAGCAGAGGCGGUAAUACGGAGGGGGCAAGCGUUACUCGGGAUCACUGGGCGUAAAGAGCGCGUAGGCGGGUGAGCAAGUCAGAUG
Molecule: ribosomal RNA, 241 nt
Filed under: uncultured bacterium
Lineage: Bacteria
Description: partial 16S ribosomal RNA
Rfam family: Bacterial small subunit ribosomal RNA
Source: RNAcentral